GUGUCAGUUGUUGAAAUGAAGACUGAAUAUGAUAUCUGGUUUCACACGUUUGUAUGAAGUUGUGGGUUUAAGAGGUCUGUUCUUUUUCAGGGAAGCAAACAUGAACGAUUCUGCUGCUUCUGAUGACGUCUGUCUGAUCCAGUCAUCCACAUCCAACAAGCCAAAAAUUACUGAUCUUUGGAAGCAUCUCAAGCAAAAAUGCUGGAGACACGGCAAGAAAGAGAAGGGCUGUGGCAACUAUGUCCAUAUAAUGGAAGCAAACAUGAACGAGUCUGCUGCUUCUGAUGAUGUCGGUCUGAUCCAGUCAUCCAAAUCCACCAAGCCAAAACAUCCUGAUCUUUGGAAGCAUCUCAAGCAAAAAUUCUGGAGACGUGGCAAGAAAGGGAAGGGCUGUGGCAACAAUUUCUAUAUCAUGGAAGCAAACAUGAACGAGUCUGCUGCUUCUGAUGACGUCGGUCUGAUCCAGUCAUCCACAUCCACCAAGCCAUAAAAUCCCGAUCUUUGGAAGCAUCUCGAGUAAAUUAAUUUAUUUUCCUCUUCUGAACUUUUAAAAACAUGUUUGUGGAUAUUUCUAUCUCAACAAAUGUACAAGAAAUUAACUUAAAAUCUUUUUUUUCAACUUAGACAAAAAUGCUGGAGACGUGGCAAGAAAGGGAAGGGCUGUGGCAACAAUGUCCAUAUCAUGUAAGGACGAGAAAAAAUCCCUUCGGAAUGUCGUGACAUGAAACGUUUAAGCAAUAGAAAUGGUGUUCCUUUCAGGAAAUUGAAGCUAUUCCUGUCGUUUCACAAUCACAUUUUGCUCCUUAAUUAUUUGG
This 815-nucleotide long non-coding RNA is filed under the name Eptatretus burgeri (inshore hagfish). Its description in RNAcentral is "lncRNA (ENSEBUG00000017275.1)". Lineage: Eukaryota; Metazoa; Chordata; Myxini; Myxiniformes; Myxinidae. The record is from RNAcentral.